UUGUGGGAGCCUAAUUAAAUCAAAACCCUAGGUCAAAUAAUUCCUUCCCUUUGGGGAUUAUUUGACCUAAUUGGGAAUUAUUCAAUUUAAUUGGGGAUUACCCAAUUAAAUAGAAUACUACCUAAUCGGGUCGAGAAUUAAUUCUAUUCCUACCCCAAUUCCCAAUUAAAGGAGGAGUUACCUAUUUAAGUCGGGAUUUGAUUUGAU
RNAcentral lists this long non-coding RNA (207 nucleotides) under Prunus persica (peach). Its description in RNAcentral is "long non-coding RNA (PPER_LNC006591)". The record is from RNAcentral. Lineage: Eukaryota; Viridiplantae; Streptophyta; Magnoliopsida; Rosales; Rosaceae.